RNAcentral lists this ribosomal RNA (1372 nucleotides) under Cyanobium sp. LEGE 06134. RNAcentral describes it as "bacterial SSU rRNA". It matches the Rfam family "Bacterial small subunit ribosomal RNA". The record is from RNAcentral. Lineage: Bacteria; Bacillati; Cyanobacteriota; Cyanophyceae; Synechococcales; Prochlorococcaceae.
CGGACGGGUGAGUAACGCGUGAGAAUCUGCCCUCAGGAGGGGGAUAACGGCUGGAAACGGCCGCUAAUACCCCAUAUGCCGCGAGGUGAAAUGAGAAAUCGCCUGAGGAUGAGCUCGCGUCUGAUUAGCUAGUUGGUGGGGUAAGAGCCUACCAAGGCAUCGAUCAGUAGCUGGUCUGAGAGGAUGAUCAGCCACACUGGGACUGAGACACGGCCCAGACUCCUACGGGAGGCAGCAGUGGGGAAUUUUCCGCAAUGGGCGCAAGCCUGACGGAGCAACGCCGCGUGAGGGAUGAAGGCCUCUGGGCUGUAAACCUCUUUUCUCAAGGAAGAAGAACUGACGGUACUUGAGGAAUAAGCCACGGCUAAUUCCGUGCCAGCAGCCGCGGUAAUACGGGAGUGGCAAGCGUUAUCCGGAAUUAUUGGGCGUAAAGCGUCCGCAGGCGGUCUUGAAAGUCUGUUGUUAAAGCGUGGAGCUCAACUCCAUUUCAGCAAUGGAAACUAGAAGACUAGAGUGUGGUAGGGGCAGAGGGAAUUCCCGGUGUAGCGGUGAAAUGCGUAGAUAUCGGGAAGAACACCAGUGGCGAAGGCGCUCUGCUGGGCCAUAACUGACGCUCAUGGACGAAAGCCAGGGGAGCGAAAGGGAUUAGAUACCCCUGUAGUCCUGGCCGUAAACGAUGAACACUAGGUGUCGGGGGAAUCGACCCCCUCGGUGUCGUAGCCAACGCGUUAAGUGUUCCGCCUGGGGAGUACGCACGCAAGUGUGAAACUCAAAGGAAUUGACGGGGGCCCGCACAAGCGGUGGAGUAUGUGGUUUAAUUCGAUGCAACGCGAAGAACCUUACCAGGGUUUGACAUCCUGCGAAUCUUUUGGAAACAGAAGAGUGCCUUCGGGAGCGCAGAGACAGGUGGUGCAUGGCUGUCGUCAGCUCGUGUCGUGAGAUGUUGGGUUAAGUCCCGCAACGAGCGCAACCCACGUCUUUAGUUGCCAGCAUUGAGUUGGGCACUCUAGAGAGACCGCCGGUGAUAAACCGGAGGAAGGUGUGGAUGACGUCAAGUCAUCAUGCCCCUUACAUCCUGGGCUACACACGUACUACAAUGCUACGGACAGAGGGCAGCAAACUCGCGAGAGCUAGCAAAUCCCAUAAACCGUGGCUCAGUUCAGAUCGUAGGCUGCAACUCGCCUACGUGAAGGAGGAAUCGCUAGUAAUCGCAGGUCAGCAUACUGCGGUGAAUACGUUCCCGGGCCUUGUACACACCGCCCGUCACACCAUGGAAGUUGGCCAUGCCCGAAGUCGUUACUCCAACCCUUGUGGAGGAGGACGCCGAAGGUGGGGCUGAUGACUGGGGUGAAGUCGUAACAAGGUAACCGUA